UCUUAUGUCCUCAGUAGGGUCAGUCUUGGUUAGUGCCUGGAUGAGACACCACAUAGGAAGACCAAGUGUCAUAAGGU
This 77-nucleotide ribosomal RNA is filed under the name Salvator merianae (Argentine black and white tegu). Lineage: Eukaryota; Metazoa; Chordata; Lepidosauria; Squamata; Teiidae. The record is from RNAcentral.